RNAcentral lists this non-coding RNA (112 nucleotides) under Desulfofundulus australicus. Its description in RNAcentral is "Desulfotomaculum australicum TPP sequence". It matches the Rfam family "TPP riboswitch aptamer (THI element)". From Rfam's summary of the family: Vitamin B(1) in its active form thiamin pyrophosphate (TPP) is an essential coenzyme that is synthesised by coupling of pyrimidine and thiazole moieties in bacteria. The previously detected thiamin-regulatory element, thi box was extended, resulting in a new, highly conserved RNA secondary structure, the THI element, which is widely distributed in eubacteria and also occurs in some archaea. Lineage: Bacteria; Bacillati; Bacillota; Clostridia; Eubacteriales; Peptococcaceae. The record is from RNAcentral.
UAUUUGACAACGGGGAGCUCCUGUUAGGGGCUGAGAAAGGGCUAGUGAGCACCUGACCCGCUAAACCUGCUCGGGGUAAUGCCCGCGAAGGGAAAAAGCCUGUUGGUAUUCC